This 67-nucleotide transfer RNA is filed under the name Rhabdomys chakae. RNAcentral's name for it is "tRNA-Pro". The record is from RNAcentral. Lineage: Eukaryota; Metazoa; Chordata; Mammalia; Rodentia; Muridae.
CAGGAAGUAGUUUAAUUAGAACGUCAGCUUUGGGUGCUGAUAGUGAGGAGGAUAAUCCUCCUCAUGA